This 1140-nucleotide ribosomal RNA is filed under the name Vibrio harveyi. Its description in RNAcentral is "bacterial SSU rRNA". It matches the Rfam family "Bacterial small subunit ribosomal RNA", at positions 8 to 1125 of the family's 1533-position model. Lineage: Bacteria; Pseudomonadati; Pseudomonadota; Gammaproteobacteria; Vibrionales; Vibrionaceae. The record is from RNAcentral.
AGAGUUUGAUCCUGGCUCAGAUUGAACGCUGGCGGCAGGCCUAACACAUGCAAGUCGAGCGGAAACGAGUUAUCUGAACCUUCGGGGAACGAUAACGGCGUCGAGCGGCGGACGGGUGAGUAAUGCCUAGGAAAUUGCCCUGAUGUGGGGGAUAACCAUUGGAAACGAUGGCUAAUACCGCAUAAUGCCUACGGGCCAAAGAGGGGGACCUUCGGGCCUCUCGCGUCAGGAUAUGCCUAGGUGGGAUUAGCUAGUUGGUGAGGUAAUGGCUCACCAAGGCGACGAUCCCUAGCUGGUCUGAGAGGAUGAUCAGCCACACUGGAACUGAGGCACGGUCCAGACUCCUACGGGAGGCAGCAGUGGGGAAUAUUGCACAAUGGGCGCAAGCCUGAUGCGGCCAUGCCGCGUGUGUGAAGAAGGCCUUCGGGUUGUAAAGCACUUUCAGUAAGGAGGAAAGGUUAGUAGUUAAUACCUGCUAGCUGUGACGUUACUUACAGAAGAAGCACCGGCUAACUCCGUGCCAGCAGCCGCGGUAAUACGGAGGGUGCGAGCGUUAAUCGGAAUUACUGGGCGUAAAGCGUACGCAGGCGGUUUGUUAAGCGAGAUGUGAAAGCCCCGGGCUCAACCUGGGAACUGCAUUUCGAACUGGCAAACUAGAGUGUGAUAGAGGGUGGUAGAAUUUCAGGUGUAGCGGUGAAAUGCGUAGAGAUCUGAAGGAAUACCGGUGGCGAAGGCGGCCCCCUGGACAGAUACUGACACUCAGAUGCGAAAGCGUGGGGAGCAAACAGGAUUAGAUACCCUGGUAGUCCACGCCGUAAACGAUGUCUACUUGGAGGUUGUGGCCUUGAGCCGUGGCUUUCGGAGCUAACGCGUUAAGUAGACCGCCUGGGGAGUACGGUCGCAAGAUUAAAACUCAAAUGAAUUGACGGGGGCCCGCACAAGCGGUGGAGCAUGUGGUUUAAUUCGAUGCAACGCGAAGAACCUUACCUACUCUUGACAUCCAGAGAACUUUCCAGAGAUGGAUUGGUGCCUUCGGGAACUCUGAAACAGGUGCUGCAUGGCUGUCCUCAACUCGGGUUGUGAAAAGUUGGGGUUAAGUCCCGCAACGAGCGGCAACCCUUAUCCUUGUUUGCCAGCCCU